UUUUUUUAAUUGGUCUUGAAGGUGACUAAAGUUCUAUUCUCGCAUUGAGGCACAAACCUCUGCCCUGGCAGAUAAUUAUAGUUUGUGAAAUUCCCUUUAUAACUUGUUUUUCUUUAAAAAAAUAAAGUAAAAUUAGUAUCUAGUUUUUAAAUAAUAUUAUGAAAGCCGUGAUUUCCAAGAUAAGUUCUAAAAAGACCUACAAUGUUUUCAAGAAAAAAAGAUAUUGCUGCACUACAUCAUUAACCAAAGGGUGUGGUUUGUAUGAGGUUGUAAUAUUAAAUAACCAAAUUAAGACACACCUCUAAAUUUUAUCAUAAAUAUAAUUUUGAUAUAAAAAGUUAUAGGGAUAACUUGAGAACCUAUUUCCAUCUCUAAUUAUAAAAUCUUAAACUCUAAAAAUUUCUUCAAAUCAAGUAGAUUCCUAAAAUGGACGGUCCAGAUAAUGUAUUGCAAGAUAUACUAUUUUUAGGUCUCGAUUUCUUUUUUUUUGUUUAUAUUCAUACAUCUCGAUGUCGAGAUGAUCAAUUAAAAGGUUUUCCAAUAUCAAAAUAACUUUUUAUGAUGGAUUUUUUAGAUGUACUUUAAUUCUAUAUUUUAAAGUUGCAACUUUAUAUAAACUUUUUCCUUAACUAAAACUAUUUGAAAGUUUCAUAGAAUAAAAUUACCUUCAAAUAAUUCUAGGUCACUAGCAUCUAUCUCUCUUGGCUCUUGAAUAAAAUCUCUCUCUCUCUCUCUCUCUUUCUCUCUCUCUCUCUCUCUCCUCCCUGCAUGGUAUUUGGUACACUAUUUUAACCUUAAUCGGUUUAGUUUUUUUACUGGAUUUUAAUUGUUAAUGGGGAUAUGGUAUUGAUAAUGCUAUAUAGCAUUUGAUUAUUUAACGGGUGUGGCUUGAAUAAUGCUAAGGCCCUAACAAUCAAAGUAAGGCACUGUUAAAUAGUGCCAAAAAAAUGUCGUUUUCAAUGCCGAAAAUCCUUAUGAUGGUCUAAAGAUUUAUUUUCAUCUCUAAUUAUAAAAUUUAAGGAUUAAAAUAUAGUGUACGUCAGGUAGAUCUAUGAAUACUUAAAAAUCUUAAGAAUAAAUGGCUUAGAUAAUGCAUUACAAGAUACAUUAUUUCAAAAAAUUCUUCCAGUGGAUAUUUGAGGUGCGCCUUGUUUUUAAUGUUUAACGCCUCAACCUUCUAUAAACUAAUUUCUUAUUUAUAGGUGUGGUUUACAGAAGGUUGCAACCUCAAACAAUCAAAUUAAAGUGCACUUCCAAACUUUGUCAUGAGAUGCAAUUUUGGUGUGAAAAUUUUUAGGAUGGUGCACGAAUCUAUUGUUAUUUCUAAUUAUAAAAUUUUAAACAAAAAAAUAAUCAAACAUAUCUAUAAAUGCAUGACAAUCUGGUAAAGUGUUGCAAGAGGUAUUAUUGUAAUACUUGAAAUCUCUUUUUUUCUCUAUAUCGAUAUAACUUGAUGUUGAGAUGAUCAAUUAGAUGUUUUUCCAACAUCAAAACAACCUUUUUCAAAUGAUUUUAGAGGCGCACCUUAAUUUUACAUUUUAAGGUGUCAACCUUUUAUAAACUUUUCCCUUAUUUAAUUAUAAAAAAUUAAGAGAAAAUUUUGUAUAGAACUAUAACUCCUCAUAUUAUUUCAUGGUAGACCCUCGUUUUGUUUUUCUUUCAAGUGGCAUGAAGAAACCUCUAAAGUUUUCACCAUACCCCAUCAUCUCUUAUCUCUCUCUUUUAUUGAUUUUUUAAUCAUAAAAAUUAGCCUCAAAAAUAUUUUUAUAUCAUUUCAACCCAAUUUUUUUUUUAAUGGGUGGAAAGAGAAAAAGAUGUUUAAAAAUUUGUUUGGGUUGAAAUAGUAUAAAAAGAUUUGUUGGGACUAAUUUUUACGGUUAAAAGUCAAUAAAAGAGAGAGAUAAGAGAUGAGGGGGUUCGAUGAAAUCUUUAAUAGUUUACUUAUGGUUUAUUGUUUUGACUAAACCUCAAAUUCACCAAAAUAUAUAUAUAUAUAUGUCCCAUUGUUUUAAAUCCUUUUUUUUAAGGCAAAACAGAAAUAAUCGUGAUCUUUUUUCUCAAAAUCCUUUUGCCAUUCCCUAAUUUUUGAGCUUUCAUUUGUACUCUAUAUUUUGGAAUAAACCCAAAUUAAUACUCAUUUUUAUUGCCCUUUGAUUUAUUGUUGCCGGGUAGUUGGCUAACCAUGCAACAGGUGGC
RNAcentral lists this long non-coding RNA (2196 nucleotides) under Amborella trichopoda. RNAcentral describes it as "long non-coding RNA (ATRI_LNC003237)". The record is from RNAcentral. Lineage: Eukaryota; Viridiplantae; Streptophyta; Magnoliopsida; Amborellales; Amborellaceae.